This 467-nucleotide ribosomal RNA is filed under the name uncultured bacterium. Its description in RNAcentral is "partial 16S ribosomal RNA". It matches the Rfam family "Bacterial small subunit ribosomal RNA", at positions 29 to 507 of the family's 1533-position model. The record is from RNAcentral.
ACGCACGCUGGCGGCGUGCUUAACACAUGCAAGUCGAACGGAAAGGCCCUGCUUUUGUGGGGUGCUCGAGUGGCGAACGGGUGAGUAACACGUGAGUAACCUGCCCUUGACUUUGGGAUAACUUCAGGAAACUGGGGCUAAUACCGGAUAGAAGCUCCUGCUGCAUGGUGGGGGUUGGAAAGUUUCGGCGGUUGGGGAUGGACUCGCGGCUUAUCAGCUUGUUGGUGGGGUAGUGGCUUACCAAGGCUUUGACGGGUAGCCGGCCUGAGAGGGUGACCGGCCACAUUGGGACUGAGAUACGGCCCAGACUCCUACGGGAGGCAGCAGUGGGGAAUAUUGCACAAUGGGCGGAAGCCUGAUGCAGCAACGCCGCGUGCGGGAUGACGGCCUUCGGGUUGUAAACCGCUUUCGCCUGUGACGAAGCGUGAGUGACGGUAAUGGGUAAAGAAGCACCGGCUAACUACGUG